GAAAACUCUAAAUAUUACACUUAUGAAAGUCACUAACUUGUAUUAAAAAAUGUUUAUUUUUAGUUUGGAAGAAAGAAGAAGAAAUUUAGAGGGAGUAUAAGUAGCAAAUCAGAUUCUAAUCAUGUAAAUGAGAAAAAAUUGGAUGUUAAGCCUGAAAAAGAAAUAAAUAAAACCAAAAUUGAAUCUGAAGAAGAAAAAUUAGAAGAGGAGGAGGAUGAUGAUGAAGAAGAUGAUGAAGAUCUUUCAAAGUAUGAUUUAAGUGGAUGGGGAGAUGAUUCACCCAAAAAAAAUGAUAAGAAUUCUGUUUCACAUUCAAGAUCAUCAUCGUCAUCAUCAGAAUCACGUUCAAGAUCUUCCAGCAGUGCUUCUACAUCCUCCAAUUCUGCCAGAUCUCAAUCGUCCUCCCCAUCACGCUCCAGAUCUCGUUCAGCCACACCUGUUCAUGGUCUGGCUAAAAGAAUCAAGAGAACAAACUCCAGGUCCAGGUAACAGGGGAGGGUGGUAAUGGUUAAAAGAUCCAGUUCACAUGAUUCUAGAUCCAGAAGCAGGCGUCGUAGAUCACAGUCUAGGAGUCGUUCACCACUCAACUAUCCUCGUUCAAGAUCUAGGGACAGUGAAAGGU
RNAcentral lists this long non-coding RNA (622 nucleotides) under Androctonus crassicauda. The record is from RNAcentral. Lineage: Eukaryota; Metazoa; Arthropoda; Arachnida; Scorpiones; Buthidae.